RNAcentral lists this ribosomal RNA (439 nucleotides) under uncultured bacterium. RNAcentral describes it as "partial 16S ribosomal RNA". It matches the Rfam family "Bacterial small subunit ribosomal RNA", at positions 338 to 795 of the family's 1533-position model. The record is from RNAcentral.
CCUACGGGGGCAGCAGUGGGGAAUAUUGCACAAUGGGGGAAACCCUGAUGCAGCGACGCCGCGUGAGCGAUGAAGUAUUUCGGUAUGUAAAGCUCUAUCAGCAGGGAAGAAAAUGACGGUACCUGACUAAGAAGCCCCGGCUAACUACGUGCCAGCAGCCGCGGUAAUACGUAGGGGGCAAGCGUUAUCCGGAUUUACUGGGUGUAAAGGGAGCGUAGACGGCGGUGCAAGCCAGAUGUGAAAGCCCGGGGCUCAACCCCGGGACUGCAUUUGGAACUGUGCUGCUAGAGUGCAGGAGAGGUAAGUGGAAUUCCUAGUGUAGCGGUGAAAUGCGUAGAUAUUAGGAGGAACACCAGUGGCGAAGGCGGCUUACUGGACUGUAACUGACGUUGAGGCUCGAAAGCGUGGGGAGCAAACAAGAUUAGAUACCCGGGUAGUC